RNAcentral lists this transfer RNA (64 nucleotides) under Todarodes pacificus (Japanese flying squid). Its description in RNAcentral is "tRNA-Phe". The record is from RNAcentral. Lineage: Eukaryota; Metazoa; Mollusca; Cephalopoda; Oegopsida; Ommastrephidae.
GUUUAAAUAGCUUAAUGAGAGCAUAACGUUGAAGGUGUUAGGGUGAUAAUAUUAUCUUUAAAUA